GACAGAGGUGGCGAGCGUUGUUCGGAAUUACUGGGCUUAAAGGGCGAGUAGGCGGUGGAGCAAGUCUGAGGUGGAAUCUUAGGGCUUAACCCUAAAACUGCCUUAGAAACUGCUUUACUUGAGUCAGUGAGGGGAGGGCGGAAUUCCUGGUGUAGCGGUGAAAUGCGUAGAUAUCAGGAGGAAGGCCUGUGGCGAAGGCGGCCCUCUGGCACUGUACUGACGCUGAGGCGCGAAAGCGUGGGGAGCAAACAGG
Molecule: ribosomal RNA, 253 nt
Filed under: uncultured bacterium
Lineage: Bacteria
Description: partial 16S ribosomal RNA
Rfam family: Bacterial small subunit ribosomal RNA
Source: RNAcentral